RNAcentral lists this ribosomal RNA (216 nucleotides) under Glomeromycotina sp. RNAcentral describes it as "partial small subunit ribosomal RNA". The stretch from base 40 to 216 matches the Rfam family "Eukaryotic small subunit ribosomal RNA", at positions 686 to 864 of the family's 1831-position model. The record is from RNAcentral. Lineage: Eukaryota; Fungi; Glomeromycota.
GGGUCAGUAGGUUGGUCGUGCCACCGGUACGUACUGGUCUCACUGAUUCCUCCUUCCUGAAGAACCGUAAUGCCAUUAAUUUGGUGUUGCGGGGAAACAGGACUGUUACUUUGAAAAAAUUAGAGUGUUUAAAGCGAGCUAACGCUUGAAUACAUUAGCAUGGAAUAGUGAAAUAGGACGAUCGAUCCUAUUUUGUUGGUUUCUAGGAUUGACGUA